UGACCAUGUGUUCAACGGCCGCGGUAUUCUGACCGCGCGAAGGUAGCGUAAUCACUUGUUUUUUAAAUAAAGACUAGUAUGAACGGCCGCACGAGGACCUAACUGUCUCCUUUGUCCAAUCAGUGAAACUGAUCUCCUCGUGCAGAAGCGAGGAUUUCACCAUAAGACGAGAAGACCCUAUGGAGCUUUAAACUUUUAUUAAUUAUUUUCACCCCCUCAGGAACUAACAAUCAAUUUAAUUUUUUAAUAAAAGUUUUGGGUUGGGGCGACCAAGGAGAAAAAAAAAUCCUCCUUGAUGAUAACCUAACUAAGAGCCACAGCUCUAACUAUUAAGACACUUAACUCCUAUUGACCCACUUUGUGAUCAACGAACCAAGUUACCCUAGGGAUAACAGCGCAAUCCAUUUCAAGAGUUCCUAUCGACAAAUGGGUUUACGACCUCGAUGUUGGAUCAGGGCAUCCAAGUGGUGCAACCGCUACUAAAGGUUCGUUUGUUCAACGAUUAAAGCCCUACGUGA
This 518-nucleotide ribosomal RNA is filed under the name Megophrys sp. s ZTL-2019. Its description in RNAcentral is "partial 16S ribosomal RNA". It matches the Rfam family "Bacterial large subunit ribosomal RNA", at positions 1913 to 2603 of the family's 2925-position model. The record is from RNAcentral. Lineage: Eukaryota; Metazoa; Chordata; Amphibia; Anura; Megophryidae.